RNAcentral lists this ribosomal RNA (465 nucleotides) under uncultured bacterium. RNAcentral's name for it is "partial 16S ribosomal RNA". It matches the Rfam family "Bacterial small subunit ribosomal RNA", at positions 338 to 795 of the family's 1533-position model. The record is from RNAcentral.
CCUACGGGGGGCAGCAGUGGGGAAUAUUGCGCAAUGGGCGAAAGCCUGACGCAGCGACGCCGCGUGAGGGAUGAAGGUCUUCUGAUCGUAAACCUCUUUCAGCAGGGAAGAACGGUCACUGUGCUAAUCAUCAUUGAAUUUACGGUACCUGCAAAGGAAGCACCGGCUAACUCCGUGCCAGCAGCCGCGGUAAUACGUAGGGUGCGAGCGUUAAUCGGAAUUAUUGGGCGUAAAGCGCUCGUAGGCGGUAUGUCAAGUCAAGGGUGAAAUCCCCGCGCUCAACGUGGGAACUGCCUUUGAAACUGGAAAACUGGAGUGUGUGAGAGGAUAGUGGAAUUCGAGGUGUAGGAGUGAAAUCCGUAGAUAUCUGGAGGAACAUCAGUGGCGAAGGCGACUAUCUGGCACAUAACUGACGCUGAGGAGCGAAAGCGUGGGUAGCAAACAGGAUUAGAUACCCGAGUAGUC